CAGCCGCCGCGGUAAUACCUGCAGCCCAAGCGGUGGUCGAUGUUAUUGAGUCUAAAGCGUUCGUAGCCGGUUUGGUAAAUCUUUGGGUAAAUCGGGAAGCUCAACUUUCCGACUUCCGAAGAGACUGUCAAACCUGGGACCGGGAGAGGCUAGAGGUACUUCUAGGGUAGGGGUAAAAUCCUGUAAUCCUAGAAGGACCACCGGUGGCGAAGGCGUCUAGCUAGAACGGAUCCGACGGUGAGGGACGAAGCCCUGGGUCGCAAACGGGAUUAGAUACCCCGGUAGUCCAGGGUGUAAACUGCUGCCGACUUGGUGUUGGAGGCCCUUCGGGGGCAUUCAGUGCCGGAGAGAAGUUGUUAUGUCGGCUACUUGGGGAGUACGUCCGCAAGGAUGAAACUUAAAGGAAUUGGCGG
This 413-nucleotide ribosomal RNA is filed under the name uncultured rumen archaeon. Its description in RNAcentral is "bacterial SSU rRNA". It matches the Rfam family "Archaeal small subunit ribosomal RNA", at positions 459 to 871 of the family's 1478-position model. The record is from RNAcentral.